ACGGUCCCUCAUCACGUGGUUUGGUCUCUAUUUUUUGUGAUGAAAGACUUCACUUUUUACUUGGCAUUUGAAGCAACAAGCUUUGCCUUUGUCCGAAAACCAUCUAUUUUGAUCAUUGUUUAAUUGUUAUCGUUUACAGUAUUACAAUUUAGUACAAGACUUUGUUUAUUACAAUAUACUACAGUAUAUUCUGAAAGAAAUAACUAACAAGCUUCUCUAAAAUGGUUCGCAUCAUCGCAAGUUUGGUAAAAGUUCAGAGAAAAAGAGAUCGAAAAAGACGGGCACUCCAAAUUAAAGUAUUAAAGUUGAUAAGACUACACAGAAUGAUGGAUGAAAUCCAAGCAACACUGGAAUGGACAAGAGCCAAUCGUAAUCGUAAUUAAUUACAAGUAGAGGACAGAAAUCAACUAUUACUAAGUGUCAGGAUAGAAAAAGCAGAACUUCAAAUUAAUUAUUGUAAGCAAUUCGACCCUGUUUCAUUUUUAUCGAUAAACCAUUUCUUGGUAUUGAAACAAGGCUUGGACUCUCAAUAUUACCUAGCAUAUAAGGUCACAACAAGCUUUUAAGUUUAUCGAUGUAAAAUGGAUCUAAUUUAAUCUGAAUUAGAAUUUUAUUCGCCUCUACUAUAAUUCAUGUAAUCAAUUACUUUAACUUUAGUUGACAGGCUAUUUACAAAAGGAUUUGUUUGAAGAUUACUGUAAGCAAAAAAUGUCUUCAAAUGUUCAUAUGAAUAAAACUGAUAAUUUAAUUGUAA
Molecule: long non-coding RNA, 754 nt
Organism: Tetranychus urticae (two-spotted spider mite)
Lineage: Eukaryota; Metazoa; Arthropoda; Arachnida; Trombidiformes; Tetranychidae
Source: RefSeq, a predicted model, not a curated record